This 2138-nucleotide long non-coding RNA is filed under the name Mus musculus (house mouse). Its description in RNAcentral is "long non-coding RNA chr6:120935540-120937678". The record is from RNAcentral. Lineage: Eukaryota; Metazoa; Chordata; Mammalia; Rodentia; Muridae.
GUGUGCCACCACGCCCAGUCGUAGAGCUUGCUCUGAAGUGACCUGCUUUUAAGUGUGCUUUUGCCUGGGCACCUGUGCCUGACGCUUUCCCACGCUUCUUAGACUGACUGGUAGAUGCCAUUUCUUUGAUCUGUUCUGCACUCACUAGACACGUGCAUAUCAGGCAAGUGCUCUACCACUGAGCUACAUCCCUUGCCCUAAGAAAGCUCUUCUUAGCAGGCAGCUUGGCAAACACUCCAGCAGACCCUGUGUGGUAGUCACAGGCCAUCGAGGUGGCUGUGAUUUCUCCCCGGCGGACCCCAGGGCUGAGGACGGUAGCUGUUCCUGCUCUCGUUCCAGCAGCUGACUCGAGCUGUCCUGAAUCAACUUCUGACCCACCCUGAGUGUCCAUCAGGAGUGGCCACACCCCUGAGCUUAACAGCAGCAGGAGCGUGGAGGAAGGACUGUCUAAGGCAUCAACCCACCCAGGAAGUAACAAAGUCCCGUGUCAUGUACAAAGCUGCCCAAUGCCCUUGCCUUGGAAGCACACUGUAUUGGUGGCUCUUUGCUCUCAUGUAGACACAAACUUCCCUGAGUGGUUUUCUGGGUGCUGGGGGUAGAACACGGAGCUUCGUAUGUGCCAGGCAAUGCCCCACCACUGAGCUACACUCCCAUCCCAGGAUUAAAUGAUUUUAUACAGAGCUCAGGAUGUCUGAGGGCUUCCCGGUGAGAGACUAGAACUCUCCAAGUCCCCUCCGCUUAUAUGGCUGGAUGGUCCAGGCCAGAGAAAUGCCCUAACAUGAGAAUAUGGACGAUUCUCGGGGAGGUGCUGUUCCCAUGUCAGACUCUUCAUUACUCUUGCCCGCAUCUUCCUAACUCCUUCACACUAGGCAAAGGCUGAAGCUUUUCCACUGUCUGUUGGUUGCAUGUCAGGCCUAACUAAGUCUUUAGCCAGCGACCACACUCUGGAGACAGAACUGACACAAGCAAUGGUUAGUAUCAGCCCCGUGCCAAGCAGACAUGCACCCCUUGGCCUUGAGCUCUACUCUCAAAGAUGGACACCUCCAUCUCGGCCUGUCGAGCUUGCCUACAGGUCUUGGGGGGGCCCAAGCUCUCCUUCCCCGCACCAAUAGACUUGGGUCUUUGGCUUUCAAGCAGUCUACAGCCCAGUUCCACGCAUCCCUUCUGGAGGGUCUCUGCACAGUGUGCCCCUGUGGCCAUGGAGAUGAAGCCCUGAGGCAUGCAAGCUGUCCAGAGUGACAAGCCACGAGCACACCAAGUCCGUCAUCCCCUCCUUCCCCACCUCCCAGCAUGUAAAGACUCCAAAUUCCACCAGGAGACAUUGGGAUGCCGCUCAUGAGCCAUGUUGGAGCUCGGUCAUGGCUGAUGAGCAAGGGGAUAAGGGAUUGGGGGGGGUCACAUGUGAGAGCCAUGGAGAGCAGAGAAGAGGUUAGCAGGGGUUAGUCAUGGCCACACUCCCUUCCCCUGCCCACACAUGCCUUGUCAAUGACAAUCUUAUCACCACAACAGACUUCAAGAUCAGACAAACUUAAAACAAAACAAGACACACUCAGCAAGACAUAAGGUAGAGAAGUUUGGGUUUUUAGUGGUCGGAGGAAAAAAACAACAGAACUCGGGGCCAUCUGUGUAGACCAGUCUUUGAAAGGACAGUAUUCCUUGACUCUGCCAAGACAAACUGAUGCCACAGAGGGGCUUCCUCCCCUGUUCCUGGCCCUCCAUAUGCUGGCCUUUAGCUUACUGGUCCCAAGGCCCCAAGCACCAACGGUAGACAGGACCGCAGGGGAACUGCCUGCGGACACUGGAGCCACAGGCUCUUUGUCUGUUCCCAUCCUCCCUUAGACAGUCAAAGGGAUACUGUGCCUUGUAAGAAACUGCCACGUACUCAUGACAUUCUGACGUGGGGCUAGCAGGAGUCAGAGAGAGGAGGGACGUUUGCUGGGCCUUGGCUCCCUGUUGGACUACGGUGGCUGCGGCCCCUCGGAGGCAGUGGGGAAGAGUGGGCGAGGUUACGUUACCUUCCUGGACACAGCAAGGGCAGAAGGAGAGAGGUCUACGCCGUGGAGUCCCGCCACUGGGCUCAACUUCAAAAAGGACCAAACAAGGAAGAGCAAGAGGAAACAGAGAAAAACAAACAAACC